UGGGGCGUGGCCAAGUGGUAAGGCAACAAGUUUUGGUCCCUCUAUUCGAAGGUUUGAAACCUUUCGUCCUAG
Molecule: transfer RNA, 72 nt
Filed under: Cucumis melo (muskmelon)
Lineage: Eukaryota; Viridiplantae; Streptophyta; Magnoliopsida; Cucurbitales; Cucurbitaceae
Also listed under: 1 other name
Rfam family: tRNA
About the family: Transfer RNA (tRNA) molecules are approximately 80 nucleotides in length. Their secondary structure includes four short double-helical elements and three loops (D, anti-codon, and T loops).
Source: Rfam by way of RNAcentral